AACAUUUUGUGGGGCUUUUUUUUUGUAUUACUCUGACUAAGGACAGCAGUGUAGAUUUGGGCAAAGUGGAUUUGCAUUGGUCUUAAUUGAAUAUUAAAUUUUGUUCUUCACAACACUAACUCCAGCAGGUGCUGAAGGGAACUCAUCCAGGCGUGACAGCGUGACAUGAAAGUGCUGAUGUCUAGAUGUGCUCUCUUCCUGUUACACUUGCCAGUGACAGGAUAAAUCUAGGUGCACAGGUGCCUGGCUGACGAUAGUGCAGUUUCUUUAGUAUAAUUGUGGCAAACAUCCACGUAUAAUUAGUAGGUGGUACAUUUGUUUCUUUUUAAUAUUACUUUAACCAUUCCUUUAAAAAAAGUGGGAUGACUCUUGGUAAGAAGUGUAUUUGUUUUAGUGUUAUGAAAUGUAUAUGUGAUCAUAUAUUAGGUUAUGGAUAUUUGAAAAGAGGAAAGUACUUCCAAAGACAACAAAGGCUAAGAAUUUGACCCAUAAAAUAAUCUUUGAUAACUCUUCUUCGGUGCAGUUAUUGGCUAACAUAACCAUAGCAGUUGAUAUUCACCCAGGAGUGAAUCUAAAUCCUAAAAGGGAAAAUCUGGAAUACCGAUUUAGACUGAAUAGAAGUAAAGUCAUUCUACAAUUAAUAUUAGAUGUUCUUUUUUCACUUAGUUAUGCACAGAAUUCCAUAGUGAAGCAGGAUAUGGCUAAACAGAGGUACGAGUAUGAAUAGAAAGAAAAAAAAAAGAUCACAUUGACAAAGAUGAAGAGAGCUUAAAUCAAUGUAUAUAUUAACUACUCUUUUUUUCUUUUAAAAUUCAGUGAGUUUGUAUUUGAUUCAUGUCUUCAAAUAUUUAGCUAUAUUUAUUAGCUUAUUAUAUAGUGCUUCAAGUAUGAAAGCUAGAAUCUGUAACAGAAUUUUUAAACUUCUAAAGGAAAUUAUUGUCAGAA
This is a long non-coding RNA of Phyllostomus discolor (pale spear-nosed bat), 945 nucleotides long. RefSeq lists it as uncharacterized. The transcript is spliced from 3 exons. The record is from RefSeq and is a predicted model, not a curated record. Lineage: Eukaryota; Metazoa; Chordata; Mammalia; Chiroptera; Phyllostomidae.